AACGAACGCUGGCGGCAGGCUUAACACAUGCAAGUCGAACGAAGCCUUCGGGCUUAGUGGCGGACGGGUGAGUAACGCGUGGGAACGUGCCCUUUGCUACGGAAUAGCCCCGGGAAACUGGGUUUAAUACCGUAUAUUCUCUCCGGAGGAAAGAUUUAUCGGCAAAGGAUCGGCCCGCGUUGGAUUAGGUAGUUGGUGGGGUAAUGGCCUACCAAGCCCGCGAUCCAUAGCUGGUUUGAGAGGAUGAUCAGCCACACUGGGACUGAGACACGGCCCAGACUCCUACGGGAGGCAGCAGUGGGGAAUCUUAGACAAUGGGGGAAACCCUGAUCUAGCCAUGCCGCGUGAGCGAUGAAGGCCUUAGGGUUGUAAAGCUCUUUCGCUGGGGAAGAUAAUGACGGUACCCAGUAAAGAAGCCCCGGCUAACUCCGUGCCAGCAGCCGCGGUAAUACGGAGGGGGCUAGCGUUGUUCGGAAUUACUGGGCGUAAAGCGCGCGUAGGCGGAUUGGAAAGUUGGGGGUGAAAUCCCGGGGCUCAACCCCGGAACUGC
Molecule: ribosomal RNA, 550 nt
Filed under: uncultured Alphaproteobacteria bacterium
Lineage: Bacteria; Pseudomonadati; Pseudomonadota; Alphaproteobacteria
Description: bacterial SSU rRNA
Rfam family: Bacterial small subunit ribosomal RNA
Source: RNAcentral